This 838-nucleotide long non-coding RNA is filed under the name Physcomitrium patens. Its description in RNAcentral is "long non-coding RNA (PPAT_LNC005643)". Lineage: Eukaryota; Viridiplantae; Streptophyta; Bryopsida; Funariales; Funariaceae. The record is from RNAcentral.
UAGGGUUUGAUUUAGGAUUUGGAUUAGGGUUUGGAUUAGGAUUUGGUUAGGGUUUGAUUUAAGGUUUGAUUUAGGAUUUAGGAUUUGGAUUAGAGUUUAGGAUUGGAUUAGGAUUUAGAUUAGGGUUUAGGAUUUGGUUAGGGUUUGAUUUAGGAUUUGGAUUAGAGCUUGAUUUAAGGUUUGGUUUAGGAUUUAGGAUUUGGAUUAGAGUUUAGGGUUGAAUUAGGAUUUGGAUUAGGGUUUGGAUUAGGGUUUAGGGUUUGGUUAGGGUUUGAUUUAGGGUUUGGUUAGGAUUUGAUUUAAGAUUUGGUUUAGGAUUUAGGGUUGGAUUAGGGUUUGGUUUAGGGUUUGAUUUAAGGUUUGGUUUAGGGUUUGAUUUAAGGUUUGGUUUAGGGUUUGAUUUAAGGUUUGGUUUUAGGGUUUAGGAUUUGGAAUAGGGUUUAAUUUAAGAUUUAUUUAGGAUUUGACUUAGGAUUUAGGAAUUAUUAGGGUUUAAGAUUUAAUUAGGUUUGGUCUAAAGUUGAGUGAAAUUCAAUAGGGUUUUAACUAGAAUUAAAUUAAGGUUGAAUUGACAUAUAUUUGAGUAAAAUUUGUAAUCAUUCUAAUAUUUCUUUAAGAAUUUUAUUGUUUGUUUGAAAUUUCUUUGAGUUGUUUUGAAUUUGAUUACGUUUGUUUACUAUUAUUAUAGUCUAAUUAGAGCAUUGUUAGUAUUCUAUUUAGGAUUUUGUUAUCGCAAUUUCUAUUCUUCCUUCUACAGCCAGGUGUCCUAAGCAUUCUCAAGCAAGACUUCACACAUUACGACAAUGUGAUCUAAUAUUGGAUAAUUUCGAAGCAUUCU